GCUAACUAUACUACAGAGAGAGAGAGAGGUGCUACCGCUAACUAUACUACAGAGAGGGGAGCUACCGCUAACUAUACUACAGAGAGAGAGAGAGGUGCUACCGCUAACUAUACUACAGAGAGAGAGAGAGGGAUGCUACCGCUAACUAUA
Molecule: long non-coding RNA, 150 nt
Organism: Oncorhynchus keta (chum salmon)
Lineage: Eukaryota; Metazoa; Chordata; Actinopteri; Salmoniformes; Salmonidae
Exons: 3
Source: RefSeq, a predicted model, not a curated record